AUUGAACGCUGGCGGCAUGCCUUACACAUGCAAGUCGAACGGCAGCGGACCUUCGGGUGCCGGCGAGUGGCGAACGGGUGAGUAAUAUAUCGGAACGUACCUUUCAGUGGGGGAUAACGUAGCGAAAGUUACGCUAAUACCGCAUAUUCUGUGAGCAGGAAAGCAGGGGAUCGCAAGACCUUGCGCUGAUUGAGCGGCCGAUAUCAGAUUAGCUAGUUGGUGAGGUAAAGGCUCACCAAGGCGACGAUCUGUAGCGGGUCUGAGAGGAUGAUCCGCCACACUGGAACUGAGACACGGUCCAGACUCCUACGGGAGGCAGCAGUGGGGAAUUUUGGACAAUGGGCGGCAAGCCUGAUCCAGCCGUGCCGCGUGAGUGAAGAAGGCCUCGGUUGGUAAGUACGUCUUUCGGUCCGGGU
This 416-nucleotide ribosomal RNA is filed under the name uncultured bacterium. RNAcentral describes it as "bacterial SSU rRNA". It matches the Rfam family "Bacterial small subunit ribosomal RNA", at positions 30 to 449 of the family's 1533-position model. The record is from RNAcentral.